GCAUCACCUGGAGCUUGCUAGGCUGCGUCUCAGCUCACCACAAACAUUCCACAUCAGAAUCUGUGUCUUUCCUGCCUCCCCAGACAGCUGUUCCCCGGGAGUACCUGAGCUAUGCCUCGUCCAAGCUGUCAGGCGUCAACAUUCGUCAAGCCUUUCGGUUCAGCUGUGCCAUAGCUCCCAAGUCAGCAGUUCUCCGGGCCACCUGUUACCACAAGCUACAUCAGGACACUCCCAAACAAUCCUUUCCUCAGCUCUGUCCUCCCCCUUCACCCCUACUUAAAGCCCAUGGCAAUUGGAAACAACAAAAAUGACUUGUUCA
Molecule: long non-coding RNA, 319 nt
Filed under: Mus caroli (Ryukyu mouse)
Lineage: Eukaryota; Metazoa; Chordata; Mammalia; Rodentia; Muridae
Description: lncRNA (MGP_CAROLIEiJ_G0005151.1)
Source: RNAcentral